Molecule: long non-coding RNA, 6491 nt
Filed under: Homo sapiens (human)
Lineage: Eukaryota; Metazoa; Chordata; Mammalia; Primates; Hominidae
Description: endogenous retrovirus group K13 member 1
Source: RNAcentral
AGCGUGAGGGCCGCCGUUGCUGGAGUUCAGCUUAGGGAAGGAGGACUCUGAGGAGGCCCCGAGCGGCGGAGCGCUUCGGGGGAGGCGCCCGCGCAGACGCGAGGCCCAUAGCCAGGACCACCACCUAGCUGAUUCUUGAUGACAUUGGUCGGGAAAACUCGCCUUUCACGGCCCGGCCAAGGGGCAUUUGGGUGCUUUUGCUGCCCGUGGCUGUGCUCAGCGUUGUGGGAAGCCCCUGGGAGGCCGAAUGUGCAGGAUCACCGAGGGGAAAGUGAGCUUGACAGUUCUACAGUCUGGGGACGACGGUUUAAAAAUUUAUGCCUUGCAUGCGAUGUGCAGUGGGUGAUGGAAGAACGUCUACAUGGCUUUAAAAUUGGAUUUAAAAGGCAAAUAUUUUAAAUGAAGGAAAACCCAAGAAGUUUACUUGAUUCCUUAUCUUCCAGGAUGCGACUUUUGUUUAUUUAUUUAUUUUAUUUUGAUGGAGUCUCGCUGCCGUCGCGCAGGCUGGAGUGCAGUGACGCGAUCUUGACCCGGGAACCUCCACCUCCCGGGUUCAAGCGAUUCUCCUUCCUCAACCACCCGAGUAGCUGGGAUUACAGGCGUGUGCCACCAUGCCCGGCUAAUUUUUGUGUUUUUAGUAGAGACCGGGGAAGGUAUGGGCCCUCUUUUGAGAAAAAUGCAGAGUGACACUGAAUUUUGUAACUACAUCAGGAGGCUCUUGAACCUUCUGCAGCUCACUCGUGGAGUUUGUAGAGAUGCGUAAUAAUCCGAAGUGUUAAGGAAGAAGGUUCUGUUGAGAAAAAGUUGGAGGGCUGAAAGGGAUGCCUUUCGCUAUUUCGACAUGUGUGGCUGUACCCCAGAGUGCCCUGGCUAACACGCAAAACCAUGAAUUAGGCGGCUUGGCGAGGCUCAGUGGAGGCUGGGGCCGAGAGUCAUGUCAAAGUUUGUGGGGUUAACCUGCACCCAGUGACAGUCAUGGCGAAGUUUGUGAGGUUAACUCGCACCCAGUAACGCUGUUCCAAUGCAAGGUGUGUAUUUGGUGUCAUCCACGGGAAGAGGAAACAGCAAAUUUUCUCAUGGCCUUGGCAGUUCCACAUGAUGGACAUUUCAUAUCUGCAGUUUUCUUCGCAUGAGAUGGCUUUUUUGCACAAAAACACUGGAAUCCAGUGAGCAAGAAUGAUAGAAUGCAAGAUGGAUUUCCACAUGAGGAAGUGUCACGAACAAGCGUUUUGCAUCUCUGUCAGCUGGAUUCCCCCAUGUGUACGUAUGUGAGAACAUGCCGUGUUUCCUGUCUGUAAUGGUAGAGGCAGCCCUGAUACUGGAUUUUCACCUGAGGAUGGAUAGAUCUUCAGGGUUCAAGUGGGUUUGCAUCUGGACUUUAGGGUGGCCCUGUAGGCCCUGUGUGAGAAGCCCCCUUCCCAGUGAACUUUCCCUUGUGUGCCCGCGUGGACAGCCAACAGGGGGAGCAGUGCGAGCGUGAAGGCAGACAGUGGCCUGGCCCAGUCUGAUGGUAAGUGGGCCAGAGGCAGUGAGUACCAUUUCUUGAUCUGACUACUCAAGACAGGCGCUUCCCUAGGUACUUUCACACCUCAUUGCGAGGUACGUGUUGUUCCCAUUUUACAGGUGCAGAAGCUGAGCUGCAGAGGCGUUAGGUACCUGCCUCAUAAGUGGUAGAGACUCCAGUGUCACCCUGCCCCUCACGUUCGGAGCCCCCGAGGGAGGGUCUGCCGGGCAGCUCAGCCCAGCACUCUGUAAGGAAAUCUUCAGUGCCACUGCCCAGGAUGUCUUCCCGGGGAUUGGGCCUGAAUGUCUUGACCAUGCCGUGCUGGAGGUAGGAGGGGUGUCUUCAUAUGGAAGAACUGUACAUAUUUCUUUGGCAGAUGGCUGAACUCUGUGACCCCGGGGCCUGUUUCAGCCUCCUGCUGUCAGAAAGCAGCUGUUUGGGAAGAGGCUGUGAUUCGGCCUUGUUUGAGGGCCGAUACUCUGAAUGGGUGAGGCUUGGAAUCCUCCCUUUGGAACAAAGAAACAUAAUGAUUUUGCUGAAGGUAGAAUUGGGGGACUAGGCAGAGUGGCCUCCUGCCCUCCCUGGGGUGGUUCUGUCUUUUGCAAAGGUGGCUGCAUCCUUAGGGGAAGGUGAGGGGAGAAGCAGGGAGCAUGGAGAGAAGUGGCUUUCGAUUUUCUCUCUCCUUUUGGGGAGUUCCUCCUUAUGUGGCUGGUCUGGUGCAUAGUGUGAUGUAUUCCUGUACGCAACGUUGCCCUGACAGCCAGUCCAAGCUGAGUCUAGAGCUGGCAAGGUGAGCUCCCAGUAGUAAGAGGGUGUGGGCGGCAAGCCACCCAGGCACCGAGGCAAGAGACAGAGGACACGAGCUGUUCCAGUAUAAUAAAAUAUAAAACAAGAAUAGUUAUACCAGAUAUAGAUCUUAGAUAUGAUUAUAUAUGAAUAUCAUUAAUCAUGAGUUUGCAGCAAUUACUUUUUAUUCCAAUAUUAUGAUAAUCCUCGCUCUAUAAUCAUAGCCUAGGAAAAACCAGGCCAUACAGAGGAGCUGAGGGGACAUAGUGAGGUGUGACCAGAAGACAAGAGUGCGAGGCUUCUGUUAUGCCCGGACAGGGCCACAAGAGGGCUCCUUGGUCUAGCGGUGACGCCAGCGUCUGGGAAGACGCCCGUUACCCGGCGGAUCGUGGCCCAGUGGUAGCAAAAGGUGUCAAGGAACAACACUCACUACUUAGCAGACCGGGAAAGGGGCGGGGGGGGGGUCUCCCUUUCCCCGGGGGAGUUUAGAAAAGACUCUGCUCCUCCACCUCUUGUGGAGGGCCUGACAUCAGUCAGGCUUGCCCGUAGUUAUCCGGAGGCCUAACUGUCUCCCUGUGAUGCUGUGCUUCAGUGGUCACACUCCUUGUCUGCCUUCAUGUUCCAUCCUGUACACCUGGCUCUGCCUUCUAGAUAGCAGUAGUAAAUUAGUGAAAAUACUAAUAGUCCCUGAUAUGCAGAAAUAAUGGUAUAAGCUGUCUUUCUCUCUGUCUCCUCUCCCUCUCUGCCUCGGCUGCCAGGCAGGGAAGGGCCCCCUGUCCAGUGGACACGUGACCCACGUGACCUUACCUAUCAUUGGAGGUGACUCACAUUCUUUACCCUGCCCCUUCUGUCUUGUAUCCGAUAAAUAACAGCGCAGUCAGACAUUCGGGGCCACUACCGGUCUCCGCGCAUUGGUGGUAGUGGUCCCCCGGGCCCAGCUGCCUUUUCUCUUAUCUCUCUGUCUUGUGUCUUUAUUUCUACACUCUCUCAUCGCCACACACAGGGAGAGACCCACCGACCCUGUGGGGCUGGUCCCUACAUCUGGCGCUCUGACGUGGGGCUCUCCCUCGCUGUGUGAAGUUGCACCCUGAGUGCGGGAUCAGCGGAGGAGUUCAACGAGAGAUUCCUGAGGAUUGCAGUCUAUAAACUUGGUGGAAAAGAACUACAGCCUGUGUGGGUCCCCUCCCGACAAUUAAAAUUGCACCAUAACUCCAAAGAUGAAACGCUCCCAGAAAGAAAAGGCAAAGACCCAUCGGAAACAAAAGAGCAACUUUCACCGCCUGAUACAUACACUUCAUGACAUCCACAUUGAGACAAAAUCUCGCCGUGUGACCUACAACACCUCUCGUUCAACCCCACCUACUUGGGGUCGAAUACAGAUUUUAUCUCAUCAAACAGAAAAAUUCUUAACAGAAAAAGGAAUCCCAAAAAUGACUGGUAAUAUAAUUCUGGCUGCCUUUAUGGUAGUCAGUGCAGCGGUAAGUAUACCACCGGUCGGGGCAACUCAAAAUUAUACUUAUUGGGCAUAUGUUCCUUUUCCCCUUCUAAUUCGGUCUGUCUCCUGGAGGGACUCUCCAGUAGAAGUUUACACUAAUAAUAGUGCAUUCAUGCCGAUCCCUAAUGAUGAUCGGUUUCCAGCUCAACCGGAAGAAGAAGGUAUGCACUUUAAUCUGUCAAUUGGCUAUAAAUAUCCACCAUUAUGUAUUGGGAAGUCGCCUGGUUGUUUAGCUUAUUCUUAACAGAAUUGGAUGUGGACUGUACCGUCCUUUACAAAUGAUUCUUAUCAAGUAUAUAAUGUGUUCAGUACUAACUCUUUUCAACUUCUCACUGUCAAACGUACCCCACAUGAGGCAUGGAGAGUUCCUCUCACUACCAAAACUAAUAAAACAAAAGGACUGCCGGACUGUCCAAAGAAACCUACAAAUGGGCCUUUUAUAGUGACUUCAAUUUUAUGGGAUAAUUGUAAUGCUCCCAAGGCUGUUGUACUCCAAACUCUAGCCAUGGGUAUUGUUAUUGAUUGGGCUCCAAAAGGACAUUAUUGGCAAGAUUGCUCCAGCAAAAAUACCUUAUGCUCGGAGUUUAUUUAUUCCUUAGAUUAUAUAGAGCAUGGGUGGCAGUCUUACACGAUGAGACAACGGGUGUCUCCUUACCCAUUUAAAUGGAUGGACACAGGUAUUGCUCCUCCUAGACCAAAAAUUAUUCAUCCCUUUUUUACCCCAGAACAUCCUGAACUAUGGAAAUUAGCUGCAGCUUUGUCGGGAAUAAAGAUAUGGAACACUACCUAUCAGCUCCUUCGUACUAAAACCAAAACACCCACAUUCAACAUCACCCUUAUUUCUGAAUGGGUGAUACCCAUUAGGAGCUGUGUCAAACCCCCUUACAUGCUGUUGGUUGGAAAUAUAAUUAUGAUGCCUGAUGCACAAACUAUAGAAUGUCAUAACUGUAAGCUGUUCACUUGCAUUGAUGCAACUUUUAAUCCCACUACAAGUAUUCUCUUGGUAAGGGCUAGGGAGGGGGUAUGGAUACCAGUUUCUCUACAUCGUCCAUGGGAGUCUUCCCCCUCUAUUCACAUAGUCAAUGAAGUUCUUAAAGACAUCCUCAAAAGAACAAAGAGAUUUAUUUUUACUCUUAUUGCAGUCCUUGCAGGACUACUUGCGGUUACUGCAACAGCAGCAACUGCUGGAGUUGCCAUCCGCAGUUCUGUUCAAACUGCUCACUAUGUUGAAGCAUGCCAGAAAAAUUCCUCCAGACUUUGGAAUUCUCAGGCGCAAAUUGAUCAAAAAUUAGCUAAUCAGAUUAAUGAUCUCCGCCAAAGUGUAACCUGGCUGGGAGAUAGAGUUAUGAACUUGCAACACCGUAUGCAAUUACAGUGUGAUUGGAAUACUUCUGAUUAUUGCAUAACGCCUUAUGCUUAUAAUCAAGAUCAACAUAGCUGGGAAAAUGUCUCAAGACAUUUAAAAGCCUGGGAUGAUAACUUAACCUUGGAUAUUUCACAACUUAAAGAGCAAAUCUUUGAGGCUUCACAAGCCCAUUUAUCCACAGUUCCUGGCUCACACAUUUUUGAAGGCAUAACUAAACAAUUACCUGAUUUUAAUCCCUUCAAAUGGCUCAAACCCGUCAGAGGAUCAUUGUUGUUACUGGCAUUAUUAAUAUUGGUAUGCUUAUGUUGUCUCCUUUUAGUCUGCAGAUGCCUCUAAGGAGUCCGAAACCAAGUCCGAAGUCAACAACAAGCAAUGAUGGCGAUGGCGAUUCUAGUUAAUAAAAAGGGGGGAGAUGUGGGCGGCAAGCCACCCAGGCACCGAGGCAAGAGACAGAGGACACGAGCUGUUCCAGUAUAAUAAAAUAUAAAACAAGAAUAGUUAUACCAGAUAUAGAUCUUAGAUAUGAUUAUAUACGAAUAUCAUUAAUCAUGAGUUUGUAGCAAUUACUUUUUAUUCCAAUAUUAUGAUAAUCCUCGCUCUAUAAUCAUAGCCUAGGAAAAACCAGGCCAUACAGAGAUAGGAGCUGAGGGGACAUAGUGAAGUGUGACCAGAAGACAAGAGUGCGAGCCUUCUGUUAUGCCCGGACAGGGCCACCAGAGGGCUCCUUGGUCUAGCGGUGACGCCAGCGUCUGGGAAGACACCCGUUACCAGGCGGAUCGUGGCCCAGCCGUAGCAAAAGGUGUCAAGGAACACCUUUUGCAAAAGGUGUCAACACCCGCUACUUAGCAGACUGGGAAAGGGGGGCGGUCUCCCUUUCCCCGGGGGAGUUUAGAGAAGACUCUGUUCCUCCACCUCUUGUGGAGGGCCUGACAUCAGUCAGGCUUGCCCGUAGUUAUCCGGAGGCCUAACUGUCUCCCUGUGAUGCUGUGCUUCAGUGGUCACGCUCCUAGUCUGCCUUCAUUUUCCAUCCUGUACACCUGGCUCUGCCUUCUAGAUAGCAGUAGUAAAUUAGUGAAAAUACUAAUAGUCCCUGAUAUGCAGAAAUAAUGGCAUAAGCUGUCUUUCUCUCUGUCUCCUCUCCCUCUCUGCCUCGGCUGCCAGGCAGGGAAGGGCCCCCUGUCCAGUGGACACAUGACCCAUGUGACCUUACCUAUCAUUGGAGGUGACUCACAUUCUUUACCCUGCCCCUUCUGCCUUGUAUCCAAUAACAGCGCAGUCAGACAUUCAGGGCCACUACCGGUCUCCGCACAUUGGUGGUAGUGGUCCCCCGGGCCCAGCUG